AGUGAACGCUGGCGGUAGGCCUAACACAUGCAAGUCGAACGGCAGCACAGUAAGAGCUUGCUCUUACGGGUGGCGAGUGGCGGACGAGUGAGGAAUACAUCGGAAUCUACUUUUUCGUGGGGGAUAACGUAGGGAAACUUACGCUAAUACCGCAUACGACCACGGGUGAAAGCAGGGGAUCUUCGGACCUUGCGCGAUUGAAUGAGCCGAUGUCGGAUUAGCUAGUUGGCGGGGUAAAGGCCCACCAAGGCGACGAUCCGUAGCUGGUCUGAGAGGAUGAUCAGCCACACUGGAACUGAGACACGGUCCAGACUCCUACGGGAGGCAGCAGUGGGGAAUAUUGGACAAUGGGCGCAAGCCUGAUCCAGCCAUACCGCGUGGGUGAAGAAGGCCUUCGGGUUGUAAAGCCCUUUUGUUGGGAAAGAAAAGCAGCAGGUUAAUACCCCGCUGUUCUGACGGUACCCAAAGAAUAAGCACCGGCUAACUUCGUG
RNAcentral lists this ribosomal RNA (491 nucleotides) under uncultured bacterium. RNAcentral describes it as "partial 16S ribosomal RNA". It matches the Rfam family "Bacterial small subunit ribosomal RNA", at positions 29 to 507 of the family's 1533-position model. The record is from RNAcentral.